CACGUAGGGGGCAAGCGUUGUCCGGAUUUAUUGGGCGUAAAGAGCUCGUAGGUGGCUGAGUAAGUCGGAUGUUAAAUCCCCAGGCUCAACCUGGGACACCACCCGAUACUGCUCUGGCUAGAGUCCGGUAGGGGAGCGUGGAAUUCCUAGUGUAGCGGUGAAAUGCGCAGAUAUUAGGAGGAACACCAGCGGCGAAGGCGGCGCUCUGGGCCGGUACUGACACUGAGGAGCGAAAGCGUGGGUAGCAAACAGG
This 253-nucleotide non-coding RNA is filed under the name uncultured bacterium. RNAcentral describes it as "partial 16S ribosomal RNA". It matches the Rfam family "Bacterial small subunit ribosomal RNA", at positions 524 to 776 of the family's 1533-position model. RNAcentral also lists the same sequence under 1 other name. The record is from RNAcentral.